Molecule: ribosomal RNA, 496 nt
Filed under: uncultured bacterium
Lineage: Bacteria
Description: partial 16S ribosomal RNA
Rfam family: Bacterial small subunit ribosomal RNA
Source: RNAcentral
AUGAACGCUGGCGGCGUGCCUAAUACAUGCAAGUCGAGCGAACAGACGAGGAGCUUGCUCCUCUGACGUUAGCGGCGGACGGGUGAGUAACACGUGGAUAACCUACCUAUAAGACUGGGAUAACUUCGGGAAACCGGAGCUACUACCGGAUAAUAUAUUGAACCGCAUGGUUCAAUAGUGAAAGACGGUUUUGCUGUCACUUAUAGCUGGAUCCGCGCCGCAUUAGCUAGUUGGUAAGGUAACGGCUUACCAAGGCAACGAUGCGUAGCCGACCUGAGAGGGUGAUCGGCCACACUGGAACUGAGACACGGUCCAGACUCCUACGGGAGGCAGCAGUAGGGAAUCUUCCGCAAUGGGCGAAAGCCUGACGGAGCAACGCCGCGUGAGUGAUGAAGGUCUUCGGAUCGUAAAACUCUGUUAGUAGGGAAGAACAAAUGUGUAAGUAACUAUGCACGUCUUGACGGUACCUAAUCAGAAAGCCACGGCUAACUACGUG